This 466-nucleotide ribosomal RNA is filed under the name Ideonella sp. RNAcentral's name for it is "bacterial SSU rRNA". It matches the Rfam family "Bacterial small subunit ribosomal RNA", at positions 874 to 1325 of the family's 1533-position model. Lineage: Bacteria; Pseudomonadati; Pseudomonadota; Betaproteobacteria; Burkholderiales; Sphaerotilaceae. The record is from RNAcentral.
AGUAAUUAAUAACGCGUGCAGUUGACCCCUGGGGAGCGCCCCCAAUUUUGAACUCAAAGGAAUUGAGGAGGCCCACACCAGCCCGGGUGAUGUGGUUUAAUUUUUUCAACGCAAAAAACCUUACUACCCUGACAUUUUGGAAUCCUGAAGAGAUUUGGGAGUGCUGAAAGAGAGCCAGAACACAGGUGCUCAUGGCCGUCGUCAGCUUGUGUGAGAUGUUGGGUUAAGUCGCAACGAGCGCAACCCUUGUCUUAGUUGCUACGAAAGGGCACUUAAUGAGACUCCGGUGACAAACCGGAGGAAGGUGGGGAUGACGUCAGGUCCUCAUGGCCCUUAUGGGUAGGGCUACCACGUCAUACAAUGGCCGGUACAGAGGGCUGCCAACCCCGAGGGGAGCUAAUCCCAGAAAUUCCAUAAUAGUCCGGAUCGCAGUUUAACUAUUCGAGUGGACCGUCAAUGAGUGAGC